AUUGAACGCUGGCGGCAUGCUUUACACAUGCAAGUCGAACGGCAGCGCGGGCUUCGGCCUGGCGGCGAGUGGCGAACGGGUGAGUAAUACAUCGGAACGUGCCCAGUAGUGGGGGAUAGCUCGGCGAAAGCCGGAUUAAUACCGCAUACGACCUGAGGGUGAAAGCGGGGGAUCUUCGGACCUCGCGCUAUUGGAGCGGCCGAUGGCAGAUUAGCUAGUUGGUGGGGUAAAGGCCUACCAAGGCGACGAUCUGUAGCUGGUCUGAGAGGACGACCAGCCACACUGGGACUGAGACACGGCCCAGACUCCUACGGGAGGCAGCAGUGGGGAAUUUUGGACAAUGGGCGAACGCCUGAUCCAGCAAUGCCGCGUGUGUGAUGAAGGCCUUCGGGUUGUAAAGCACUUUUGGCGGGAACGAAAAGGACUGUGCCAAUACCACGGUUCGAUGACGGUACCCGCAGAAUAAGCACCGGCUAACUACGUG
This 484-nucleotide ribosomal RNA is filed under the name uncultured bacterium. RNAcentral describes it as "partial 16S ribosomal RNA". It matches the Rfam family "Bacterial small subunit ribosomal RNA", at positions 29 to 507 of the family's 1533-position model. The record is from RNAcentral.